Molecule: small nuclear RNA, 290 nt
Filed under: Fukomys damarensis (Damara mole-rat)
Lineage: Eukaryota; Metazoa; Chordata; Mammalia; Rodentia; Bathyergidae
Description: 7SK RNA
Rfam family: 7SK RNA
About the family: 7SK was discovered as an abundant small nuclear RNA in the mid-70s but a possible function has only recently been suggested. Two independent studies have found that 7SK RNA binds the CDK9/cyclin T complex (known as elongation factor P-TEFb).
Source: Rfam by way of RNAcentral
GGAGGUGAGGGAGAUCUGGCUGCGACAUCUGUCGUCCCACUGAUCGCCAGGAUUGAUUCGGCUGAUCUGGCUGGCUAGGCGGAUGUCCCCUUCCUCAGCACUCCAUGUGCGUCCCUCCGGAAGAGGAUGACCACCCCCAGUUUCCUCGGCCAAGGGUAUGCGAGUAGCUGCGCUCCCCUGCUACAACCCCCAAACACGCUCUCAAGGAAAAAUUACCAUCUUGGUUGAAAGUCAUUUAUCUAUAUUAAACUGAACCUACUUUUAAGGAAGACCCUUUGGUGCCUAUUUUU